ACAAGUAGCGGAGCAUGUGGUUUAAUUCGAAGCAACGCGAAGAACCUUACCUAAGCUUGACAUCCCAAUGACAUCUCCUUAAUCGGAGAGUUCCCGUCGGGGACAUUGGUGACAGGUGGUGCAUGGUUGUCGUCAGCUCGUGUCGUGAGAUGUUGGGUUAAGUCCCGCAACGAGCGCAACCCUUGUCUUUAGUUGCCAUCAUUAAGUUGGGCACUCUAGAGAGACUGCCAGGGAUAACCUGGAGGAAGGUGGGGAUGACGUCAAAUCAUCAUGCC
RNAcentral lists this ribosomal RNA (275 nucleotides) under Clostridioides difficile. RNAcentral's name for it is "partial 16S ribosomal RNA". It matches the Rfam family "Bacterial small subunit ribosomal RNA", at positions 925 to 1199 of the family's 1533-position model. The record is from RNAcentral. Lineage: Bacteria; Bacillati; Bacillota; Clostridia; Peptostreptococcales; Peptostreptococcaceae.